Molecule: ribosomal RNA, 292 nt
Filed under: uncultured Alphaproteobacteria bacterium
Lineage: Bacteria; Pseudomonadati; Pseudomonadota; Alphaproteobacteria
Description: partial 16S ribosomal RNA
Source: RNAcentral
GGACUACUGGGGUUUCUAAUCCUGUUUGCUCCCCACGCUUUCGCACCUCAGCGUCAAUACGUGUCCAGUGAGUCGCCUUCGCCACUGGUGUUCUUCCGAAUAUCUACGAAUUUCACCUCUACACUCGGAAUUCCACUCACCUCUCCACGAUUCUAGCGAUGCAGUCUUAAAGGCAAUUCCAGGGUUAAGCCCUGGGCUUUCACCUCUAACUUACAAAGCCGCCUACGUGCGCUUUACGCCCAGUAAUUCCGAACAACGCUAGCCCCCUCCGUAUUACCGCGGCUGCUGGCAC